AACAGUUGUACUCUUAAAAUCUGUUGUCUCUUCACAUCACUAUCCUAGCAUUUCAAACGACAACAGUUUCUAAAAAACUUUCUUUCUUUUGUUAUCUAUUUUCUCUGUAGGUCUUCCAUGAAACUACCUCAAUCCGUAUGUCUCAGCCACCUUUUUUCCAGUUCACAACAAACGUAGUCUGAUACAGCUCCGAUUAGGUACUAUCCUUUUCCCCUUUUCAACGCUUCAUGUGCAAGAGUAUGGGCACAUUCAUUCUCCAAUCUAUGAACGAACUGGAAAUCAAUCUCUUAAAAAUGAACCUUUUUGCUUUGAAUGUCUCUGAUGAGUGCCCCAAUAACUGAUUUAUCUAGAUCUGUAGAUUGGCAUUUCUUUAUUACCAUUCUUGAAUCCUCCACAAUUGCUAAUGAGUUAAAUCCCAUUGAGAUUCCUAAUUGAAUGGUUUGUAAUCCUGCAAGUGCUUUUGCUGCAAACAGAGAUGAUAUUGCGCUAUGCAUGACUAUUUUCGAGGCCAAAAUCUCGCCCAUGAAGUUUGGAACUACCAGUCCCGAAGUCGAUCUGGAGGACCGUUUGUCGAAGGCUGCAUCAAAGUAAAUUGUCACCCUCAUAUUUCUUUCGGGUCGUAUGUGUCCUGUAUCAAC
This 638-nucleotide long non-coding RNA is filed under the name Gossypium barbadense (sea-island cotton). RNAcentral's name for it is "long non-coding RNA (GBAR_LNC022542)". Lineage: Eukaryota; Viridiplantae; Streptophyta; Magnoliopsida; Malvales; Malvaceae. The record is from RNAcentral.